This 484-nucleotide ribosomal RNA is filed under the name uncultured bacterium. RNAcentral's name for it is "partial 16S ribosomal RNA". It matches the Rfam family "Bacterial small subunit ribosomal RNA", at positions 30 to 507 of the family's 1533-position model. The record is from RNAcentral.
AUUGAACGCUGGCGGCAGGCCUAACACAUGCAAGUCGAGCGGAUGAAGGGAGCUUGCUCCUGGAUUCAGCGGCGGACGGGUGAGUGAUGCCUAGGAAUCUGCCUGGUAGUGGGGGAUAACGUCAGGAAACGGGCGCUGAUACCGCAUACGUCCAGAGGGAGAAAGGGGGGGAUCUUCGGACCUCACGCUAUUAGAUGAGCCUAGGUCGGAUUAGCUAGUUGGUGGGGUAAAGGCCUACCAAGGCGACGAUCCGUAACUGGUCUGAGAGGGUGAUCAGUCACACUGGAACUGAGACACGGUCCAGACUCCUACGGGAGGCAGCAGUAGGGAAUAUUCGACAAUGGGCGAAAGCCUGAUCCAGCCAUGCCGCGUGUGUGAAGAAGGUCUUCGGAUUGUAAAGCACUUUAAGUUGGGAGGAAGAGCAGUAAGUGAAUACCUUGCUGUUUUGACGUUACCAACAGAAUAAGCACCGGCUAACUUCGUG